Molecule: ribosomal RNA, 255 nt
Filed under: uncultured bacterium
Lineage: Bacteria
Description: partial 16S ribosomal RNA
Rfam family: Bacterial small subunit ribosomal RNA
Source: RNAcentral
GCAAGUCAAGGGGAAUGCUUCUUUUGGGAAGUGAUUAUACUGGCGCACGGGUGAGUAAUAUGUAAGUAAUCUACCUUAGGGAUGGGGAUAACGUCGAGAAAUCGGCGCUAAUACCGAAUAAUGCAGCGGCACCGCAUGGUGAUGUUGUUAAAGUUGCUUUUGUAACGCCUUGAGAUGAGUUUGCAUCUGAUUAGUUAGUUGGUGGGGUAACGGCCUACCAAGGCGACGAUCAGUAGCUGGUCUGAGAGGAUGAUC